RNAcentral lists this ribosomal RNA (310 nucleotides) under uncultured fungus. RNAcentral's name for it is "SSU rRNA". It matches the Rfam family "Eukaryotic small subunit ribosomal RNA", at positions 39 to 352 of the family's 1831-position model. The record is from RNAcentral. Lineage: Eukaryota; Fungi.
AAAGAUUAAGCCAUGCAUGUCUAAGUAUAAGCACUUUAUACUGUGAAACUGCGAAUGGCUCAUUAAAUCAGUUAUAAUUUAUUUGAUAUUACCUUACUACUUGGAUAACCGUGGUAAUUCUAGGGCUAAUACAUGCUUUAAGCCCCGACUUCUGGAAGGGGUGUAUUUAUUAGAUUAAAAACCAAUCGGGGCAACCCGUUUAAUGGUGAAUCAUGAUAACUAUUCGAAUCGCAUAGCUUUGCUGGCGAUGGUUCAAUCAAAUUUCUGCCCUAUCAACUUUCGAUGGUAGUAUAGAGGACUACCAUGGUUA